UUGGGACCAGGAAUAUAUAUAGGCGCCAAGGGAUGUGCCGCCGCUUGCUGUCUGCUAUUGAGACGGUCCUCUCCACACUAAAAGUUCAGAAGUUGAUUAUUCCUGCUAUAUCUGAGCAUAUGCAUACUUGGACCGUAGUUUUUGGAUUUAAUUCACUUGAGGAUUCAUCAAGGCUAGAGAUGAAGUCCAUCAAUAUGUUGGUGUUUCCUGGGACAGAUAUGCUACAAAAGAGGUUACAAAAUGGAGAGACCCUAGAGGCUGGUACAAAUGCUGGUGAUUCGAAACAUAGUGUUCCUUGGUUGCCUGCUUUGAUUGAAAAAGUUGAUAAGGACUCCGACUCCCCUACUAAGUGCGAUGGGAA
RNAcentral lists this unclassified non-coding RNA (361 nucleotides) under Hevea brasiliensis (rubber tree). The record is from RNAcentral. Lineage: Eukaryota; Viridiplantae; Streptophyta; Magnoliopsida; Malpighiales; Euphorbiaceae.